Non-coding RNA from Prunus mume (Japanese apricot), 264 nucleotides. The record is from RefSeq and is a predicted model, not a curated record. Lineage: Eukaryota; Viridiplantae; Streptophyta; Magnoliopsida; Rosales; Rosaceae.
UGCAACUGUUUAUUCUUUGUGUGCUGGUGGUGCUCCUUUUGCUCAAUGCUGUAAAGAGCUUCCUCUAUCUUACUCUUUUGUAGAUGUUACUGAGGCUUCAGAGAAGCCAGAAGAACCUGAGCACGAUUGUCUGCAUGGGCUAUUUGACUGCACUGUGGAAGUUCUCGCUAAUAUUGAUCCCAGCUCUAGCGUUGAGGUUUUCCCCUCCCAAACCCAUCCAAGUGUAUGGCUCCCCACGCAGAUAAGGGAUCCACUGCUUUUUGA